UGGGGAAUUUUGGACAAUGGGCGCAAGCCUGAUCCAGCCAUGCCGCGUGCGGGAAGAAGGCCUUCGGGUUGUAAACCGCUUUUGUCCGGGAAGAAAAGGCCGCAGCGAACAGCUGCGGUUGUUGCCGGUACCGGGAGAAUAAGCACCGGCUAACUACGUGCCAGCAGCCGCGGUAAUACGUAGGGUGCGAGCGUUAAUCGGAAUUACUGGGCGUAAAGCGUGCGCAGGCGGUUCGUUGUGUCCGAUGUGAAAGCCCCGGGCUUAACCUGGGAACGGCAUUGGAAACUGGCGGGCUGGAGUGCGGCAGAGGGGGGUGGAAUUCCGCGUGUAGCAGUGAAAUGCGUAGAGAUGCGGAGGAACACCGAUGGCGAAGGCAGCCCCCUGGGCCGACACUGACGCUCAGGCACGAAAGCGUGGGGAGCAAACAGG
This 429-nucleotide ribosomal RNA is filed under the name Actinomycetes bacterium. RNAcentral describes it as "Actinobacteria bacterium partial 16S ribosomal RNA". It matches the Rfam family "Bacterial small subunit ribosomal RNA", at positions 355 to 776 of the family's 1533-position model. The record is from RNAcentral. Lineage: Bacteria; Bacillati; Actinomycetota; Actinomycetes.